This is a long non-coding RNA of Triticum aestivum (bread wheat), 1471 nucleotides long. RefSeq lists it as uncharacterized. The record is from RefSeq and is a predicted model, not a curated record. The transcript is spliced from 2 exons. NCBI's taxonomy places the organism in Eukaryota, Viridiplantae, Streptophyta, Magnoliopsida, Poales, Poaceae.
ACAACCCAAGGCGCCACCGCCCCAAGAAACCACCGAUUCGAAUUCACCGUCGCCCACCCGUACCAGCUCGUCGCCGCCGCCCCAGACACCCCCAGCCCCCGCCACCAUCUCCACCACCCAGCGCGAACCCUUCACCACCAACUCUGAAAUCGCCGUCGCCGCCCACCAUCCAACACGCCCCUGCCGCAUCUGCCGUCCCGCGUGACCACCGGUGCGCAUGGAUCCGGCAGGAUCCCGACCUGACUGGACCAGGGAUGACAUUCGCAGGCACUGGGGUCAUCACAGACUGCGCCCCAGCCGUCGCUGCGGACUGCUCCGCAUCGCCGCCGGUAGAAGCAAUAGAAACUGGUGCUGGUCGGGUCAGCCCGACUUGGAACUCCCACUGUCACUGUCAUGUCACCAAGAUGAGGAAUCAGGUUCAGAAAUUCCCACACACAACGCCUAGCAGAGCAUUUUUGACAAGACAGGAACCAAGUUGCGUACCUGGCCGGGCAUGACCUCCCCGUUGAUGCUGCUGAUGUUGAUCCCGGCAUAGAGGCAAGCCUUGUAGUGGGCAUCCAUGAUGUCGUGCCCGAACGCCUUGUCGGCGCCGGCGGUGCAGUACUAUGACCCCUGCACAAAUGCACACAAUCAAUAUCAUUUGAAAACCUACUACCUUCAGUGAAUUGUGGACAAUUUUGAGUUCAAGAACAUAUUCGUUUUAUGUUUUAUAUGUAAGCUUGAACAGAUUUGUUGAGAAUUUUCUUGCCUGAGGGCCAGGGUAGCCACCAAUGGGCCAGCCAAGAGGCCAGUCCACGUCCUUCUGGAGGAGAGUGUACUCCUGCUCAAUACCAUACCUGUUUGGGUUCAGAGAUUAGCCUAAUCAGUACCGUAACCGUAAGCAGAUAAGGAUACAAAGGCUCCCUUGCAGAGAGUUGGCUCUGGUCGUGCUUGAGGCCGCUGUCGCUUAUGGCCGUUGUACACCAAGUGCAAAGACGUUUUGUGAAAAGUUCUAGUACAGCUAUACGGUGGCCACCCUGAAGUUCUACUAUGGAUGUAUGCCAAGUUCUAUAACGGCUAUAUGCCGACUGUCACGCUCCAGCUCGUCGUAUUGCUGGUGGAGCUGGUGUCGGUGCAACAGCAAGUGUCAGGGACUCCUUCCUCGUUGACACGGGCGGAGACGCUCAAGACGUUGGCGCUGCAGAGCAUUAUACGUUGUUGUCAAGUUGGCUCACUUAUAUUGGAAUAAGGAAAAACAGCUGAAGGUCAAAAGAAAUUGUUUGAGAAGGUCAAAAGUAUGUUAAAGUAUAUUUUCUGGAACACCAACACUCUUUUGAAAUCAAUGCUGGCAAGUUUUUGCACCUGCGUACUGCAGAACGAAAGAAACAUUGUGUCUUUGUUGUUCCAUGCUGAAUUAUUGAGCCAAUUGAUGGACGCCAUGGGCCGAGAACAAAAUUUGAAGAAAUUAACUGAAGAUUGCGUUGACUCUUGA